Misgurnus anguillicaudatus (oriental weatherfish) is the source of this 499-nucleotide long non-coding RNA. RefSeq lists it as uncharacterized. The record is from RefSeq and is a predicted model, not a curated record. Lineage: Eukaryota; Metazoa; Chordata; Actinopteri; Cypriniformes; Cobitidae.
UUAAAGCAGAGAGAACAGAUUAAAUGCAGGAAGAAAAUCAGAGAAAAGGAGUAAUAAAAGCACACUUAAAUAGAAAACUGAAAUAGUAAAGAAGGUAAGACAAUAGCGUGAGGAAAGCAGGAGGCAAUAUAGAGGCCCAGAAACGAGAGUGAAAGAAACAAUAAUUAUUAAUAUCCAUGAAAGAAAGGAGGCGGAGGAAACACAGAGGCAGAGGAAUGCCAUUAAAAGUACUGUAUAAAUAGAAAAAGGGGAGGAGAAAGAAACCUGGAAACUUAAGAAUGUAGAAAAAGAAAUCACAGGAUAGAUGAAAGGAAGGAAGGAAGGAAGGAAGGAAAAAGAAAGAAAGAAGGAUGUAGGAAAGAAAGACAGGCAGAAGACAGUAUUAAUGGAAGGAAGGAAGGAAGGUAGUAAGGAACAAUAAAGAAGGAAGGAUGUAGGAAAGAAAGGCAAACAUAAGGCAGUAUGAAUAUAAGGAAGGAAGGAAAUAGGAAAAAAAGAA